RNAcentral lists this unclassified non-coding RNA (313 nucleotides) under Hevea brasiliensis (rubber tree). The record is from RNAcentral. Lineage: Eukaryota; Viridiplantae; Streptophyta; Magnoliopsida; Malpighiales; Euphorbiaceae.
AAAAAAAAAAAAAAAACUUAGCUUCAGUACAAUAAAGGAUAAACAAAGCUCAAUGCAACAUCUAUGUUAUGACAGAACAUGACAUGAAUAGCCUCUCAGAUCCUAGAUGCAGUGGAGAUAUUGUCAAGAGUCUCAUAUCUAAUGAUUAUAAAGAAUUAAAAGAGCUUAUAAAGGUAAAGUUGUAAAAGUUAGUUCUAAAAUGGUUGGUCCUAGCCUAAGUAAACCCAUCUCACUUGUCUGGCCCCUUCACUCGCCUCCACCAAGGUUCCCGGUGUUGCUGAUGCAUCAAAGUUUAAGGUUUAAGAGAAGGAUC